This is a non-coding RNA of Gossypium raimondii (Peruvian cotton), 104 nucleotides long. Lineage: Eukaryota; Viridiplantae; Streptophyta; Magnoliopsida; Malvales; Malvaceae. The record is from Rfam.
CCAUAUUUCGAGUUUUGUGCGUGAAUCUAAUAAAACUGUAAUCCACACACAAAAAAUGUGGAUUUGUUUCAUGUUAGAUUCACGCACAAACUCGUAAUCUGUCU